RNAcentral lists this ribosomal RNA (251 nucleotides) under uncultured bacterium. RNAcentral describes it as "partial 16S ribosomal RNA". It matches the Rfam family "Bacterial small subunit ribosomal RNA", at positions 796 to 1041 of the family's 1533-position model. The record is from RNAcentral.
CUAGCCAUCAACUAUGGAUACUGGAUAUUCCUGCCCUCAUGUGGGAGUGUCGAAGCCAACGCGUUAAGUAUCCCGCCUGGGGAGUACGGUCGCAAGAUUGAAACUCAAAGGAAUUGACGGGGGCCCGCACAAGCGGUGGAGCAUGUGGUUUAAUUCGACGCAACGCGAAGAACCUUACCUGGGCUUGAACUGUCGGUAUAGGGACCCGAAAGGGCGACGAUCCCGGGCAACCGGGAAGCCGAUAGAGGUGC